This is a microRNA precursor of Bison bison bison, 86 nucleotides long. The record is from Ensembl. Lineage: Eukaryota; Metazoa; Chordata; Mammalia; Artiodactyla; Bovidae.
UGGUUCCUGCAGAGAUGGUAGACUAUGGAACGUAGGCUUUGUGAUUUUUGACCUAUGUAACAUGGUCCACUAACUCUCAGUAUCCA